This is a long non-coding RNA of Quercus lobata, 1219 nucleotides long. RefSeq lists it as uncharacterized. The record is from RefSeq and is a predicted model, not a curated record. The transcript is spliced from 3 exons. Lineage: Eukaryota; Viridiplantae; Streptophyta; Magnoliopsida; Fagales; Fagaceae.
UACUACGUUACAAUCUCUUUACAUAAAUGAUUGCACAGAGCUUCGGGAAAUUCCAAGACUUCCGCAAUCUAUAAGAACUGUGGCUGCAGAGAAUUGCUAUAGGCUGGAUCCACAAUCAUCAAGCAGAUUAUGGAAUCAGUUUGGAGAAAUUCUAGGGAUUCUACCAAAUACAGUUGCUCAAGCUGCAAGAAGCUUUGAAUCUAAAAUUUAUUGGGAUUAUCUUAUACUACCAGCAAUUGAGAUUCCAAAGUGGUUCAAAUUCAACCAUCAUCAGAGUGUUGGAAAUCCCGCAUCAUUCUUGGUUGGUCCUAAAUUUUCAAAUUUCGUUGUUUGUAUUGCUUUUCCAUCAAAGGAUGUGAACACCAAUAUAUAUUGCUUUUGGUUGGUUAACAUUUUCGUCAAUGGUUGUAAACAACAAAUCAAAAGUUGGACAAUGGUUAAUUAUGACCAUGUUUGGUUAAUUUAUGGGAAAGUGAAUAUAUCAAAUCCAUCUGAAGAGAAUUGCAUUGAGGUUGAGGUUAUACCUACAAAAAAUUUUUCAAAUGCUGAAGAGAAUCUUGAGUAUAUGCCAGAAGAGAAUAUUUCUCUAAAUAGAUUAAGGAUUUAUGUAGAAUGCAUCUGUUGUCCUCAAAAACCCAAUACGGAUCAAUGGGCUUCCAACAAUGGGGAAGAGGAUUAAGGCCGUGUUGGAAUCCCGCGCUGACUGCGGAGACGAAACCAUCGACCAAUCCAUGCUAGACGUCCCCAAAAACACUACCUGUCCCGCUUCAGAUGGGUUCGAAUCCGAUUCCAACCCUGGAAACGGCAAUUUACCAAGGGGUUUCGUGAUCAGGUUCAUCUUCAAUCCCCAAUACCUUUUUCAGUGAUGAUACCAACACCAAUCUGUAUCCACCAUCAAAGAAGACAAAAACAUCUUGAUCUAACUUUGAAGAGAAGGGAUGCAACAAACACAUGUGAAGUGGACACUCCUAUUAAACCACCUAAUGUACUUUUCAGUAGUUUCCUUGGUAGUAUAGCACACAAUCAGAUGUUGAAGGUAUGGAUUCCUCUCUCUCUCUCUUCGUGAUAUGUCUAUAUAAUGGUGUAAAAUCGGUAGAGAAUUUGGUAAAUAUAACUAUUGUUGGAUGGUUCAUACAGCUAUAUGUGUAAUACAUGAGGUGUGAUUGAAGAUGAAAAAAUAAGGGAUAAUUCCUCCAGAUAUGGUGUAAUUGGAUUCUCA